GUUACAGGCUUAACACAUGCAAGUCGAGGGGCAGCAUUUCAGUUUGCUUGCAAACUGGAGAUGGCGACCGGCGCACGGGUGAGUAACACGUAUCCAACCUGCCGAUAACUCGGGGAUAGCCUUUCGAAAGAAAGAUUAAUACCCGAUGGCAUAAUUAGACCGCAUGGUCUUAUUAUUAAAGAAUUUCGGUUAUCGAUGGGGAUGCGUUCCAUUAGGCAGUUGGUGAGGUAACGGCUCACCAAACCUUCGAUGGAUAGGGGUUCUGAGAGGAAGGUCCCCCACAUUGGAACUGAGACACGGUCCAAACUCCUACGGGAGGCAGCAGUGAGGAAUAUUGGUCAAUGGGCGCAGGCCUGAACCAGCCAAGUAGCGUGAAGGAUGACUGCCCUAUGGGUUGUAAACUUCUUUUAUAUGGGAAUAAAGUUUUCCACGUGUGGAAUUUUGUAUGUACCAUAUGAAUAAGGAUCGGCUAACUCCGUGCCAGCAGCCGCGGUAAUACGGAGGAUCCGAGCGUUAUCCGGAUUUAUUGGGUUUAAAGGGAGCGUAGGUGGACAGUUAAGUCAGUUGUGAAAGUUUGCGGCUCAACCGUAAAAUUGCAGUUGAUACUGGCUGUCUUGAGUACAGUAGAGGUGGGCGGAAUUCGUGGUGUAGCGGUGAAAUGCUUAGAUAUCACGAAGAACUCCGAUUGCGAAGGCAGCUCACUGGACUGCAACUGACACUGAUGCUCGAAAGUGUGGGUAUCAAACAGGAUUAGAUACCCUGGUAGUCCACACAGUAAACGAUGAAUACUCGCUGUUUGCGAUAUACAGUAAGCGGCCAAGCGAAAGCAUUAAGUAUUCCACCUGGGGAGUACGCCGGCAACGGUGAAACUCAAAGGAAUUGACGGGGGCCCGCACAAGCGGAGGAACAUGUGGUUUAAUUCGAUGAUACGCGAGGAACCUUACCCGGGCUUAAAUUGCAUUUGAAUAAUCUGGAAACAGGUUAGCCGCAAGGCAAAUGUGAAGGUGCUGCAUGGUUGUCGUCAGCUCGUGCCGUGAGGUGUCGGCUUAAGUGCCAUAACGAGCGCAACCCUUAUCUUUAGUUACUAACAGGUCAUGCUGAGGACUCUAGAGAGACUGCCGUCGUAAGAUGUGAGGAAGGUGGGGAUGACGUCAAAUCAGCACGGCCCUUACGUCCGGGGCUACACACGUGUUACAAUGGGGGGUACAGAAGGCAGCUACCUGGUGACAGGAUGCUAAUCCCAAAAGCCUCUCUCAGUUCGGAUCGAAGUCUGCAACCCGACUUCGUGAAGCUGGAUUCGCUAGUAAUCGCGCAUCAGCCAUGGCGCGGUGAAUACGUUCCCGGGCCUUGUACACACCGCCCGUCAAGCCAUGAAAGCCGGGGGUACCUGAAGUACGUAACCGCAAGGAGCGUCCUAGGGUAAAACUGGUAA
RNAcentral lists this ribosomal RNA (1432 nucleotides) under uncultured organism. Its description in RNAcentral is "SSU rRNA". It matches the Rfam family "Bacterial small subunit ribosomal RNA". The record is from RNAcentral.